GGGUCUGUAGCCUAGUUGGUAAAGGAAGCACUCUUGUAUGUGACUGAGCAUUGCUGAGGUUGUGAGUUCAAAUCUCACCAGGCACA
Molecule: transfer RNA, 86 nt
Filed under: Puccinia graminis f. sp. tritici
Lineage: Eukaryota; Fungi; Basidiomycota; Pucciniomycetes; Pucciniales; Pucciniaceae
Rfam family: tRNA
About the family: Transfer RNA (tRNA) molecules are approximately 80 nucleotides in length. Their secondary structure includes four short double-helical elements and three loops (D, anti-codon, and T loops). Further hydrogen bonds mediate the characteristic L-shaped molecular structure. tRNAs have two regions of fundamental functional importance: the anti-codon, which is responsible for specific mRNA codon recognition, and the 3' end, to which the tRNAs corresponding amino acid is attached (by aminoacyl-tRNA synthetases). tRNAs cope with the degeneracy of the genetic code in two manners: having more than one tRNA (with a specific anti-codon) for a particular amino acid; and 'wobble' base-pairing, i.e. permitting non-standard base-pairing at the 3rd anti-codon position.
Source: Rfam by way of RNAcentral